This 80-nucleotide ribosomal RNA is filed under the name Escherichia coli. RNAcentral's name for it is "partial 16S ribosomal RNA". It matches the Rfam family "Bacterial small subunit ribosomal RNA", at positions 1 to 78 of the family's 1533-position model. The record is from RNAcentral. Lineage: Bacteria; Pseudomonadati; Pseudomonadota; Gammaproteobacteria; Enterobacterales; Enterobacteriaceae. RNAcentral also lists the same sequence under 77 other names.
UUAAAUUGAAGAGUUUGAUCAUGGCUCAGAUUGAACGCUGGCGGCAGGCCUAACACAUGCAAGUCGAACGGUAACAGGAA